This 433-nucleotide ribosomal RNA is filed under the name uncultured bacterium. Its description in RNAcentral is "partial 16S ribosomal RNA". It matches the Rfam family "Bacterial small subunit ribosomal RNA", at positions 29 to 507 of the family's 1533-position model. The record is from RNAcentral.
AACGAACGCUGGCGGCAUGCCUAACACAUGCAAGUCGAACGAGACCUUCGGGUCUAGUGGCGCACGGGUGCGUAGCGCGUGGGAACCUGCCCUUAGGUUCGGAAUACCUCCCCGAAAGGGGUGCUAAUACCGGAUAAUGUCUUCGGACCCAAGAUUUAUCGCGUUUGGAUGGGCCCGCGUUGGAUUAGCUUGUUGGUAGGGUAAAAGCCUACCAAGGAGACGAUCCUUAGCUGGGCUGAGAGGAUGGUCAGCCACACUGGGACUGGGACACGGCCCAGACUCCUACGGGAUGCAGCAGUGGGGAAUAUUGGACAAUGGGCGGAAGGCUGAUCCAGCAAUGCCGCGUGAGUGAUGUAGGCCUUAGAGUUGUAAAGCUCUUUUACCCGGGAUGAUAAUGACGGUACCGGGAGAAUAAGCUCCGGCUAACUCCGUG